GCCGUGAGGUGUUGGGUUAAGUCCCGCAACGAGCGCAACCCUCACUCUAUGUUGCCAUCGGGUAAUGCCGGGCACUCUUAGGGAACCGCCGGCGAAGAGCUGGAGGAAGGGGGGGAUGACGUCAAGUCCGUAUGCCCCUUAUGUCCAGGGCUACACACAUGCUACAAUGGCCGAUACAGAGGGUUGCCAACCCGCGAGGGGGAGUCAAUCCCACAAAGUCGGUCUCAGUUCGGAUUGCAGGCUGCAACUCGCCUGCAUGAAGUCGGAAUCGCUAGUAAGCGCAGAUCAGCAGGCUGCGCUGAAUACGUUCCCGGGCCUUGUACACACCGCCCGUCACACCACGAAAGCCGGUUGUACCAGAAGUCGCUGAGCCAACCGCAAGGGAGCAGGCGCCGAAGGUAUGGUCGGUGAUUGGGGUGAAGUCGUAACAAGGUAGCCGUAGGGGAACCUGCGGCUGGAUCACCUCCUUUCUAAGGAGCUUCGAGGGUCCGGGGGUCUCCGGAUCUCCGGGCCCUCAACAGCUUCCGCUCCGCAGCAACGCUUACUCUUCCCGUAUGAGCCAGUAGCAUUUAUUCUUCUGGGCCUUUAGCUCAGCUGGCUAGAGCGCGCGCUUGAUAAGCGCGAGGUCCCUGGUUCGACCCCAGGAAGGCCCACCAGGAUAGGCAACCAUCGCUCGGCAAUGCGGGGAAACCCGCAGAGCCGGUCCGAUGGGUUCGGGGAUGUAGCUCAGUUGGGAGAGCACCUGCUUUGCAAGCAGGGGGUCGCCGGUUCGAAUCCGGUCAUCUCCACCAAACGCCGAAGCGAUCACCGAGUGUCGCGGCUCUGGCCGCGUAGCUCUUUGACAAUUGAAUACGAUGAUUCUCGAGUGUAGCCAAGCGAUGUUCUUCUUAGGCAACGCGACCACAACUCGUGGUCAAGCUACUAAGGGCGAACGGUGGAUGCCUUGGCGCCAGGAAGCGAUGAAGGGCGUGGCUAGCUGCGAUAAGCCUCGGGGAGCCGCAAGCAGGCUUUGAUCCGAGGAUGC
This 1024-nucleotide small RNA is filed under the name uncultured bacterium. Its description in RNAcentral is "bacterial SSU rRNA". The stretch from base 1 to 470 matches the Rfam family "Bacterial small subunit ribosomal RNA", at positions 1064 to 1533 of the family's 1533-position model. The record is from RNAcentral.